UACAGGGGGGGCGAGCGUUGUUCGGAAUUACUGGGCGUAAAGGGCUCGUAGGCGGCCAACUAAGUCGGAUGUGAAAUCCCCAGGCUCAACCUGGGAACUGCAUCCGAUACUGGAUGGCUUGAAUCCGGGAGAGGGAUGCAGAAUUCCAGGUGUAGCGGUGAAAUGCGUAGAUAUCUGGAGGAAUACCGGUGGCGAAGGCGGCAUCCUGGACCGACAUUGACGCUGAGGAGCGAAAGCUAGGGGAGCAAACGGG
Molecule: ribosomal RNA, 253 nt
Filed under: uncultured bacterium
Lineage: Bacteria
Description: partial 16S ribosomal RNA
Rfam family: Bacterial small subunit ribosomal RNA
Source: RNAcentral